Molecule: ribosomal RNA, 389 nt
Filed under: uncultured bacterium
Lineage: Bacteria
Description: bacterial SSU rRNA
Rfam family: Bacterial small subunit ribosomal RNA
Source: RNAcentral
GACGAACGCUGGCGGCGUGCUUAACACAUGCAAGUCGAGCGGUAAGGCCCUUUCGGGGGUACGACGAGCGGCGAACGGGUGAGUAACACGUGGGUGACCUGCCCUCAGCUCUGGGAUAAGCCUGGGAAACCGGGUCUAAUACCGGAUAUGACUCCAUGACGCAUGUUGUGGGGUGGAAAGCCUUGUGCGGCUGAGGAUGGGCCCGCGGCCUAUCAGCUUGUUGGUGGGGUGAUGGCCUACCAAGGCGACGACGGGUAGCCGGCCUGAGAGGGCGACCGGCCACACUGGGACUGAGACACGGCCCAGACUCCUACGGGAGGCAGCAGUGGGGAAUCUUGCGCAAUGGGCGAAAGCCUGACGCAGCGACGCCGCGUGAGGGAUGACGGCCU